This 273-nucleotide ribosomal RNA is filed under the name uncultured bacterium. RNAcentral's name for it is "partial 16S ribosomal RNA". It matches the Rfam family "Bacterial small subunit ribosomal RNA", at positions 524 to 796 of the family's 1533-position model. The record is from RNAcentral.
UACGUAGGGGGCAAGCGUUGUCCGGAGUGACUGGGCGUAAAGGGCGUGUAGGCGGGCCGGCAAGUGUAAUGUCAAAGCCCCGGGUAACCCCGGGAAGAGGCAUUACAAACUACCGGUCUUGAGGAAAGGAGAGGGAAGCGGAAUUCCCGGUGUAGCGGUGAAAUGCGUAGAUAUCGGGAGGAAUACCGGUGGCGAAGGCGGCUUCCUGGACUUAUCCUGACGCUGAGGCGCGAAAGCGUGGGGAGCAAACAGGAUUAGAUACCCCGGUAGUCC